AGGGUUUGAUCAUGGCUCAGAAUGAACGCUGGCGGCAUGCCUAACACAUGCAAGUCGAACGAGAUCUUCGGAUCUAGUGGCGCACGGGUGAGUAACGCGUGGGAACCUACCUUUUAGUACGGGACAACGUUUGGAAACGAACGCUAAUACCGUAUACGCCCUCCGGGGGAAAGGUCUGCCGCUAAAAGAGGGGCCCGCGUCUGAUUAGCUUGUUGGUAGGGUAAUGGCCUACCAAGGCAAUGAUCAGUAGCUGGUCUGAGAGGAUGAUCAGCCACACUGGGACUGAGACACGGCCCAGACUCCUACGGGAGGCAGCAGUGGGGAAUAUUGGACAAUGGAGGCAACUCUGAUCCAGCAAUGCCGCGUGUGUGAUGAAGGCCUUAGGGUUGUAAAGCACUUUCAACGGUGAAGAUGAUGACGGUAGCCGUAGAAGAAGCCCCGGCUAACUUCGUGCCAGCAGCCGCGGUAAUUC
Molecule: ribosomal RNA, 472 nt
Filed under: uncultured bacterium
Lineage: Bacteria
Description: bacterial SSU rRNA
Rfam family: Bacterial small subunit ribosomal RNA
Source: RNAcentral